This 75-nucleotide small RNA is filed under the name Xanthomonas campestris. RNAcentral describes it as "sX9 sRNA". It matches the Rfam family "Xanthomonas sRNA sX9". Lineage: Bacteria; Pseudomonadati; Pseudomonadota; Gammaproteobacteria; Lysobacterales; Lysobacteraceae. The record is from RNAcentral.
AUAUACCCACGUACAUUCCGGUUCCUCCGCGCCGUCCACACCCACCUGACGGCUGCUCGCUACGUUUUGUCAGCC